AGACCGUGAGGUGGAGCAAAACUCAAAAACUUAGUCUCAGUUCGGAUUGUAGGCUGAAACUCGCCUACAUGAAGCUGGAGUUGCUAGUAAUCGCGCAUCAGCCACGGCGCGGUGAAUACGUUCCCGGGCCUUGUACACACCGCCCGUCAAGCCAUGGGAGCCGGGGGUACCUGAAGUACGUAACCGCAAGGAGCGUCCUAGGGUAAAACUGGUGACUGGGGCUAAGUCGUAACAAGGUAUC
This 241-nucleotide ribosomal RNA is filed under the name uncultured bacterium. RNAcentral describes it as "partial 16S ribosomal RNA". It matches the Rfam family "Bacterial small subunit ribosomal RNA", at positions 1252 to 1500 of the family's 1533-position model. The record is from RNAcentral.